AGCUUUGCACAGUGGCAGUAUCGUAGCCAAUGAGGUUUAUCCAAGGCACGAUUAUUGCUAAUUGAAAAACCUUUAUAUAGUAUUGUAAAUAGUAGACUGCAAUGAAGUGUAGGAUAAUUAUGUAAAAAGCAUUCAUAUU
Molecule: small nuclear RNA, 139 nt
Organism: Zalophus californianus (California sea lion)
Lineage: Eukaryota; Metazoa; Chordata; Mammalia; Carnivora; Otariidae
Gene: U4
Rfam family: U4 spliceosomal RNA
About the family: U4 small nuclear RNA (U4 snRNA) is a component of the major U2-dependent spliceosome. The structure of U4 snRNA from yeast and human has been reported.
Source: Ensembl